AAGUCGUAACAAGGUUUCCGUAGGUGAACCUGCGGAAGGAUCAUUAUUGAAACAAACAAUAUGGAUGAAAAUCGCUCGGGGUCUUUUUAGAUCUGGCUUUUGAUUCCUAUUUCACCCCUUGUGCAUUAUGUAAAACAUACAUCUCGCUUUCCCUGAGCUUCAUUGAUCAGGGGCCGAGCAUAAAAAACCACUUUUUGAUGUUUCAUCUUCUUGAUGUUGACACUUUUAAAAUUAAAUAACAAAACUUUCAACAACGGAUCUCUUGGCUU
This 269-nucleotide unclassified non-coding RNA is filed under the name fungal sp. Its description in RNAcentral is "partial internal transcribed spacer region". The stretch from base 1 to 46 matches the Rfam family "Eukaryotic small subunit ribosomal RNA", at positions 1786 to 1831 of the family's 1831-position model. The record is from RNAcentral. Lineage: Eukaryota; Fungi.